Molecule: ribosomal RNA, 546 nt
Filed under: uncultured marine picoplankton
Lineage: Eukaryota
Description: SSU rRNA
Rfam family: Eukaryotic small subunit ribosomal RNA
Source: RNAcentral
CGUAUAUUAAAGUUGUUGCAGUUAGAACGCUCGUAGUCGGAUUUCGGGGCGGUCCGACCGGUCUGCCGAUGGGUACGCACUGGUCGGAGCGUCCUUUUUGCCGGAGACCGUGCCUACUCUUAACUGAGCGGGGGCGGGAGACGGCACUUUUACUUUGAAAAAAUCAGAGUGUUUCAAGCAGGCAGCUCGCUCUUGCAUGGAUUAGCAUGGGAUAAUGAAAUAGGACUUUGGUGCUAUUUUGUUGGUUUCGAACACCGAAGUAAUGAUGAGAAGGGACAGUCAGGGGCACUCGUAUUCCGCCGAGAGAGGUGAAAUUCUCAGACCAGCGGAAGACGAACCACUGCGAAAGCAUUUGCCAGGGAUGUUUUCACUGAUCAAGAACGAAAGUUAGGGGAUCGAAGACGAUCAGAUACCGUCGUAGUCUUAACCAUAAACCAUGCCGACUAGGGAUUGGAGGAUGUUCACUGAUUGACUCCUUCAGCACCUUACGGGAAACUAAAGUCUUUGGGUUCCGGGGGGAGUAUGGUCGCAAGGCUGAAACUUAAA